GCCUUCUUCAAAAGAAUAACUCUACAAUGGAAGCAAAAACUUUGCUUAAUUAACUAAUGUGACAUAACUAACAGACUCAAUAACAAAAGGCCAUUAAAAUGCGUAUAGAGAGAGAUUCAAUGGCUAAAUGACACACCCAAAUUGAAAAUGAGAACCUGAUCAUAGCCUAUUACUCAGCUCACACAUGUAGCUUUAGGGAUUUGAACAAAAUAAUCUAGACUAGUAAACAGUUCAAGUAAAUCCAGAUAAGGAUCUGAGUAAAAUAAAAUAUGCUGAAAAAAUCAAUCACGCUAUAUGUUACAGGUGCUCACACACAACAUGAAUCUUUUUUUUUUUUUUUUUUU
Molecule: unclassified non-coding RNA, 344 nt
Filed under: Hevea brasiliensis (rubber tree)
Lineage: Eukaryota; Viridiplantae; Streptophyta; Magnoliopsida; Malpighiales; Euphorbiaceae
Source: RNAcentral